RNAcentral lists this long non-coding RNA (1400 nucleotides) under Homo sapiens (human). RNAcentral describes it as "non-protein coding lnc-CFL1-2:2". Lineage: Eukaryota; Metazoa; Chordata; Mammalia; Primates; Hominidae. The record is from RNAcentral.
GAGAGAAGCUGGGAACCAGUGAUGAGAAGCUGAGGUUGAGUGGAGAGAUGCUGAGAUCAAUCAGAGAGAAGCUGAGGUUGAGUGGAGAGAAGCUGGGAACCAGUGAUGAGAAGCUGAGGUUGAGUGGAGAGAAGCUGAGGUUGAGUGGAGAGAAGCUGAGAUCAAGCAGAGAGAAGCUGAGGUUGAGUGGAGAGAAGCUGGGAACCAGUGAUGAGAAGCUGAGGUUGAGUGGAGAGAAGCUAAGAUCAAGCAGAGAGAAGCUGAGGUUGAGUGGAGAGAAGCUAAGAUCAAGCAGAGAGAAGCUGAGAUUGAGUGGAGAGAAGCUGGGAACAAGUGAUGAGAAGCUGAGGUUGAGUGGAGAGAAGCUGAGAUCAAGCAGAGAGAAGCUGGGAACCAGUGGAGAGAAGCUGAGAUCAAGCAGAGAGAAGCUGAGGUUGAGUGGAGAGAAGCUGGGGUCAAGUGCGGAGAAGCUGAGAUCUAGUGAGGAGAAGUUAGGGACCAGCGGGGAGAAAUUGGAGGGUUCAAGAAUGGGGAGCAUAAAUGAGAAGAACAUUGAAAAAGUGGUAGAAGUUACUGGCGAUGAAAGAGUGAUGGCAUUUACUCAUGAUGAGAUGGAAAUUCCUUUUGAAAGUGUCAAAGGGAGUGAGGAACUACAAGGGACUGAGAAAGGAGUGGGAGUUGAGGGGGGCAUCUUGAGUGAAGUGAAAGAUAUCACUGAUGAAUCUGUUUCUAUGGAAAAAAAAGAUAUUAUAGGUGAAGGUACCAGUGAAUGAGGCAGAUGAAGGAUUGACACCAAAGAAGGAAAGAGGCAGACAGGAGAAGUACUGAAAGUCAGAGGAGAAAUUAGAGCCAGACAGAACAUUAUUGACACUGAAGGGGUAAAGUUGAGAAAGGAAAGGAGAGAGUCUGAGCCUAAAAUAAAAGAGAGUGGAAGUGAGGAAAAGAGCUUCUGGGGCUGAAGGCGGAGGCCAGGAUCAAAGGAAGCAAAGAGGAGUCUCUGGUUCAGAGGGAAGUGGGAACAUAUGGAGGAGAAAGAGAAGACUUGGUAAUGUGUUGACAGAGGACACUUGGAUAUUGGGAGAAAAGGUGUGACUGGGAGCUCAUAGGGAAAUGUUUGAGAAAAGGAUGGAGGAUGGGCUAGAAGGAUUUAGUCUGACACUAAAUGGGGUCUAUGAGAUGGAGAAUUGCAGCAGGAUAAAGGGUAGAUUUUGAGAGUUGUGGAAGAAGGUGCAGACUGAAGUGGGCAAAAUUUCUGAAAGAGGAGCCUGAAGAAUGAAGGGCUCCCAAGUGACAAAAGCAAGAGAGGAGAUAAGAAAGAAGUGAGAAAAAACAUAAGAAGCCACGUGCCAUAAUGGUGAUUGUGUUUGUUGACAAGCCCUGAACCUUGGCUUCCUCACCUG